This 305-nucleotide ribosomal RNA is filed under the name uncultured bacterium. Its description in RNAcentral is "bacterial SSU rRNA". It matches the Rfam family "Bacterial small subunit ribosomal RNA", at positions 344 to 666 of the family's 1533-position model. The record is from RNAcentral.
GGAGGCAGCAGUGGGGGAUAUUGCACAAUGGGGGAAACCCUGAUGCAGCGACGCCGCGUGGGUGAAGAAGCGCCUCGGCGCGUAAAGCCCUGUCAGCAGGGAAGAAAAUGACGGUACCUGAAGAAGAAGCCCCGGCUAACUACGUGCCAGCAGCCGCGGUAAUACGUAGGGGGCAAGCGUUAUCCGGAUUUACUGGGUGUAAAGGGGGCGCAGACGGCGAUGCAAGCCAGGAGUGAAAGCCCGGGGCCCAACCCCGGGACUGCUCUUGGAACUGCGGGGCUAGAGGGCAGGAGGGGCAGGCGGAG